Molecule: non-coding RNA, 67 nt
Organism: Trichonephila inaurata madagascariensis
Lineage: Eukaryota; Metazoa; Arthropoda; Arachnida; Araneae; Nephilidae
Source: the annotation of a GenBank genome assembly
GUGGCUGAAUUGGUAAAUCGUCUGCCUUCGGUGCGGGUGGAUCCAAGUUCGAAUCAUGCGAGAAACU